GACGAACGCUGGCGGCGUGCUUAACACAUGCCAGUCGAACGGAAAGGCCCUGCUUUUGUGGGGUGCUCGAGUGGCGAACGGGUGAGUAACACGUGAGUAACCUGCCCUUGACUUUGGUAUAACUUCAGGAAACUGGGGCUAAUACCGGAUAGGAGCUCCUGCUGCAUGGUGGGGGUUGGAAAGUUUCGGCGGUUGGGGAUGGACUCGCGGCUUAUCAGCUUGUUGGUGGGGUAGUGGCUUACCAAGGCUUUGACGGGUAGCCGGCCUGAAAGGGUGACCGGCCACAUUGGGACUGAGAUACGGCCCAGACUCCUACGGGAGGCAGCAGUGGGGAAUAUUGCACAAUGGGCGGAAGCCUGAUGCAGCAACGCCGCGUGCGGGAUGACGGCCUUCGGGUUGUAAACCGCUUUCGCCUGUGACGAAGCGUGAGUGACGGUAAUGGGUAAAGAAGCACCGGCUAACUACGUG
Molecule: ribosomal RNA, 468 nt
Filed under: uncultured bacterium
Lineage: Bacteria
Description: partial 16S ribosomal RNA
Rfam family: Bacterial small subunit ribosomal RNA
Source: RNAcentral